RNAcentral lists this long non-coding RNA (4037 nucleotides) under Salmo salar (Atlantic salmon). RNAcentral describes it as "lncRNA (ENSSSAG00000095475.1)". The record is from RNAcentral. Lineage: Eukaryota; Metazoa; Chordata; Actinopteri; Salmoniformes; Salmonidae.
CCCGUCUCCUCUCUCUCUCCUCUGUCCCUUGGAGCACCCCGUCUCCUCUCUCUCUCCUCUGUCCCCUGGAGCACCCCGUCUCCUCUCUCUCUCCUCUGUCCCCUGGAGCACCCCGUCUCCUCUCUCUCUCCUCUGUCCCCUGGAGCACCCCGUCUCCUCUCUCUCCUCUGUCCCCUGGAGCACCCCGUCUCCUCUCUCUCUCCUCUGUCCCCUGGAGCACCCCAUCUCCUCUCUCUCUCCUCUGUCCCCUGGAGCACCCCGUCUCCUCUCUCUCUCCUCUGUCCCUUGGAGCACCCCGUCUCCUCUCUCUCUCCUCUGUCCCUUGGAGCACCCCGUCUCCUCUCUCUCUCCUCUGUCCCCUGGAGCACCCCGUCUCCUCUCUCUCUCCUCUGUCCCCUGGAGCACCCUGUCUCCUCUCUCUCUCCUCUGUCCCCUGGAGCACCCCGUCUCCUCUCUCUCCUCUGUCCCCUGGAGCACCCCAUCUCCUCUCUCUCUCUCCUCUGUCCCCUGGAGCACCCCGUCUCCUCUCUCCUCCUCCAUCGACUCAGCAUCUUAUGCGGUGCAGCUAGAGGACACGCUUGUUGUGCUCUUGAAGCUCUGUCUUUAAGAAAUGCAGAUUUGAGCGGUUGAUACAAACCCUCUGUCAGGUCUGGGUUUCUGUUUCAGGAUCAACUCUGCUUUCUAAUUUCUACUUUCAUAUUAUUUCCUCACCUGAGAAUCAUGUACUAACUGAAUACUAAACAGCAUCUACUAUAUAUGAUGUUGACCUUUGACCCACUCAAGCCGAGAUAAUCUAUCUCAGUAAUAGAACUGAGUGAAGGUAUUGUAGGACAUCGUGAUCCCCACUCAACCUUAUGAGUGCCUUUUUCAGAUGGACUCAGGCUUGGUGCCCUUUAGACAGAGUGAACCAGUGGCCCAGAGAGCAUCAUGGACUACCACUGUGGAGUGAGGUGAUGGAUACUCGGCUCUCUCUCUGUCUCUCUCUCUCUCUCUCUGUCUGUCUCUUUCUCUGUCUCUCUCUGUCUCUCUCGCUCUCGCAUAAAGCAACACAAUGGCUCUGGAGAAUUAGAAUAUUUUAUGAUUGGGUACAUCCCAUUCAUUUGGACUUGUGUAUCCCUCUAAUAACAGUUUUGAUUUGUAUUCUUUUCUCUUCCAUUCAGUUUGGUUUCAAAUAACACUUUGCCUACAUGUUGUUCAUGCGUUACUAAUUUAACUGGUCAGAUGGUUUGUUUACAUCAUAUGCUUUUAUAUCUAGUUGUUGUUUAGACAAGACUCAUAUCUGCUGUCCAGUGUUCAGUCCUCAUUACCUGGCCCGUAGUGGUUGCAGAAAUGUGACAUCAUAUGUAUAGUAGAGUGGGUAUGAUGGGUGAUGUCCCAGACCAGAUAUAGUAGAGUGGGUAUGAUGGGUGAUGUCCUAGACCAGAUAUAGUAGAGUGGGUAUGAUGGGUGACUGGGGUGAUGUCCUAGACCAGAUAUAGUAGAGUGGGUAUAAUGGGUGAUGUCCUAGACCAGAUAUAGUAGAGUGGGUAUGAUGGGUGACUGGGGUGAUGUCCUAGACCAGAUAUAGUAGAGUGGGUAUGAUGGGUGAUGUCCCAGACCAGAUAUAGUAGAGUGGGUAUGAUGGGUGAUGUCCUAGACCAGAUAUAGUAGAGUGGGUAUGAUGGGUGACUGGGGUGAUGUCCUAGACCAGAUAUAGUAGAGUGGGUAUGAUAUGUGAUGUCCUAGACCUGAUAUAGUAGGGUGGGUAUGAUGGGUGACUGGGGUGAUGUUCUAGACCUGAUAUAGUAGAGUGGGUAUGAUGGGUGAUGUCCUAGACCAGGUAUACUAGAGUGGGUAUGAUGGGUGAUGUCCUAGACCAGAUAUAGUAGAGUGGGUAUGAUGGGUGAUGUCCUAGACCUGAUAUAGUAGAGUGGGUAUGAUGGGUGAUGUCCUAGACCAGGUAUAGUAGAGUGGGUAUGAUGGGUGAUGUCCUAGACCAGAUGUAGUAGAGUGGGUAUGAUGGGUGAUGUCCUAGACCAGAUGUAGUAGAGUGGGUAUGAUGGGUGAUGUCCUAGACCAGAUGUAGUAGAGUGGGUAUGAUGGGUGAUGUCCCAGACCAGAUAUAGUAGAGUGGGUAUGAUGGGUGAUGUCCUAGACCAGAUAUAGUAGAGUGGGUAUGAUGGGUGACUGGGGUGAUGUCCUAGACCAGAUAUAGUAGAGUGGGUAUAAUGGGUGAUGUCCUAGACCAGAUAUAGUAGAGUGGGUAUGAUGGGUGACUGGGGUGAUGUCCUAGACCAGAUAUAGUAGAGUGGGUAUGAUGGGUGAUGUCCCAGACCAGAUAUAGUAGAGUGGGUAUUAUGGGUGAUGUCCUAGACCAGAUAUAGUAGAGUGGGUAUGAUGGGUGACUGGGGUGAUGUCCUAGACCAGAUAUAGUAGAGUGGGUAUGAUGGGUGAUGUCCUAGACCUGAUAUAGUAGGGUGGGUAUGAUGGGUGACUGGGGUGAUGUUCUAGACCUGAUAUAGUAGAGUGGGUAUGAUGGGUGAUGUCCUAGACCUAUGUAUACUAGAGUGGGUAUGAUGGGUGAUGUCCUAGACCAGAUAGAGUAGAGUGGGUAUGAUGGGUGAUGUCCUAGACCUGAUAUAGUAGAGUGGGUAUGAUGGGUGAUGUCCUAGACCAGAUGUAGUAGAGUGGGUAUGAUGGGUGAUGUCCUAGACCAGAUGUAGUAGAGUGGGUAUGAUGGGUGAUGUCCUAGACCUGAUAUAGUAGAGUGGGUAUGAUGGGUGAUGUCCUAGACCAGAUGUAGUAGAGUGGGUAUGAUGGGUGACUGGGGUGAUGUCCUAGACCUGAUAUAGUAGGGUCGGUAUGAUGGGUGACUUGGGUGAUGUCCUAGACCAGGUAUAGUAGAGUGGGUAUAAUGGGUGAUGUCCUAGACCAGAUAUAGUAGAGUGGGUAUGAUGGGUGACUGGGGUGAUGUCCUAGACCUGAUAUAGUAGAGUGGGUAUAAUGGGUGAUGUCCUAGACCAGAUAUAGUAGAGUGGGUAUGAUGGGUGACUGGGGUGAUGCCCUAGACCAGAUAUAGUAGAGUGGGUAUGAUGGGUGAUGUCCUAGACCUGAUAUAGUAGGGUGGGUAUGAUGGGUGAUGUCCUAGACCAGAUAUAGUAGAGUGGGUAUGAUGGGUGACUGGGGUGAUGUCCUAGACCAGAUAUAGUAGAGUGGGUAUGAUGGGUGAUGUCCUAGACCUGAUAUAGUAGGGUGGGUAUGAUGGGUGACUGGGGUGAUGUUCUAGACCUGAUAUAGUAGAGUGGGUAUGAUGGGUGAUGUCCUAGACCAGAUAUAGUAGAGUGGGUAUGAUGGGUGAUGUCCCAGACCAGAUAUAGUAGAGUGGGUAUUAUGGGUGAUGUCCUAGACCAGAUAUAGUAGAGUGGGUAUGAUGGGUGACUGGGGUGAUGUCCUAGACCAGAUAUAGUAGAGUGGGUAUGAUGGGUGAUGUCCUAGACCUGAUAUAGUAGGGUGGGUAUGAUGGGUGACUGGGGUGAUGUUCUAGACCUGAUAUAGUAGAGUGGGUAUGAUGGGUGAUGUCCUAGACCUAUGUAUACUAGAGUGGGUAUGAUGGGUGAUGUCCUAGACCAGAUAUAGUAGAGUGGGUAUGAUGGGUGAUGUCCUAGACCUGAUAUAGUAGAGUGGGUAUGAUGGGUGAUGUCCUAGACCAGAUAUAGUAGAGUGGGUAUGAUGGGUGACUGGGGUGAUGUCCUAGACCAGAUAUAGUAGAGUGGGUAUAAUGGGUGAUGUCCUAGACCAGAUAUAGUAGAGUGGGUAUGAUGGGUGACUGGGGUGAUGUCCUAGACCAGAUAUAGUAGAGUGGGUAUGAUGGGUGAUGUCCCAGACCAGAUAUAGUAGAGUGGGUAUUAUGGGUGAUGUCCUAGACCAGAUAUAGUAGAGUGGGUAUGAUGGGUGACUGGGGUGAUGUCCUAGACCAGAUAUAGUAGAGUGGGUAUGAUGGGUGAUGUCCUAGACCUGAUAUAGUAGGGUGGGUAUGAUGGGUGACUGGGGUGAUGUUC